RNAcentral lists this transfer RNA (76 nucleotides) under candidate division Zixibacteria bacterium 4484_93. Its description in RNAcentral is "tRNA-Pro". It matches the Rfam family "tRNA". From Rfam's summary of the family: Transfer RNA (tRNA) molecules are approximately 80 nucleotides in length. Their secondary structure includes four short double-helical elements and three loops (D, anti-codon, and T loops). RNAcentral also lists the same sequence under 1 other name. The record is from RNAcentral. Lineage: Bacteria; Pseudomonadati; Candidatus Zixiibacteriota.
CGGGGCGUAGCGCAGAUGGUAGCGCACAUGGUUUGGGACCAUGGGGUCGCUGGUUCAAGUCCAGUCGCCCCGACCA